This 348-nucleotide ribosomal RNA is filed under the name Triticum aestivum (bread wheat). RNAcentral describes it as "partial small subunit ribosomal RNA". Lineage: Eukaryota; Viridiplantae; Streptophyta; Magnoliopsida; Poales; Poaceae. The record is from RNAcentral.
AUGAAAAGUAGUUUCAUAUUUUAUCUACUAGGCAUUGCAGUUGUUGUUAUUUUAUUCUAUAAUCUCAGUCAAACAUUCACAUGGUUGACUUGCACGGAAACCAAUACACCUUAUAUUCUGGAACGGAGGGAGUAUUACAUAUAUGAAUUACUGAAGGCACAGGCUUCAUUUUCAUAUCUUACACAAAUUACUGCUAAACUUUUGUUUGAUAUAUUGAUUUUCAAUUUAGUCUUGCAGAUCUGUAUAUAUUGGCUCGAUGGAAACCCUUCAUUUGCAUUGCUGGCUCUUGUGCUUAGGUUUUGCAUUAUCACCAUUUGGCUUCUUCCAUUUGGUGAAUUUCUUGUUUAA